Molecule: transfer RNA, 70 nt
Filed under: Dipodomys ordii (Ord's kangaroo rat)
Lineage: Eukaryota; Metazoa; Chordata; Mammalia; Rodentia; Heteromyidae
Rfam family: tRNA
About the family: Transfer RNA (tRNA) molecules are approximately 80 nucleotides in length. Their secondary structure includes four short double-helical elements and three loops (D, anti-codon, and T loops).
Source: Rfam by way of RNAcentral
GGGAAUGUGGCUUAGUGGUAGAGUGCUUGCCUAGCAUGCAUAAAGCCCAGGGUUCAAUUCCUCAGUACCA